This is a long non-coding RNA of Rhinolophus ferrumequinum (greater horseshoe bat), 1244 nucleotides long. RefSeq lists it as uncharacterized. NCBI's taxonomy places the organism in Eukaryota, Metazoa, Chordata, Mammalia, Chiroptera, Rhinolophidae. The record is from RefSeq and is a predicted model, not a curated record. The transcript is spliced from 3 exons.
UGGGUGCCUGCCAUGGACAAAGGCCCGGCCUGGAGCCCCGAGGCUGCAUCUGAGCCCUGAGGCUCUGGUCAAUUCCAGGGACUGGAGCAGUGGGUUCACAUCGCUGAGCUUCAGAUUAUGCUCACUUUGCCUCUUCAUGGGGUUUCUGUGAGGCUCAAGAUGAGAAUGUACGGGAAAGGAAUCGCCUUAUCUACCGUGGCCCCUAAAAAUCAGAGGAUCACUGUCUGCUGUGUUGAAAUCAGACUGAAGAGGCUGGAAGAGGGUAAAGGGAGAACCAAGAAGACCACUUAGGAAACAAUAGCAAGAAUCCAGGACUGACCCUGGGAUGCCUGGACCUUGGUCGGCCUUCAAGACUCUCCAGGAAGAACCCUGAGAUCAGGCAGAUGAGAAGUGACUGUGAUGGCCCUCCUAUGGAGAAAGAGUGCCUUCUUUCUUUGCUCGUAGAGAAAGGAGGAUGGUCCUUAUAGAGAGGAGGGUGCUAUAGUGGAGGCCAUCCAGAAAUUUUAAUAUGCUCUAUCUACGACAUCGUCUUCCAUCGGUCAGUGGCUUUAUCUUGGAACUGUGAAAACAGAGUUGGACAAAACUGUGAGGAAUUCCAUGGGGUGGCACUGAAAUAUCUGUAAGAGCUGUGGUGCUAAAAGGAUAAGAAGAAAAUUCAAAAUAGGGUGGGGUAGCAAAUAGAUUGUUUGAAACUAACCAAAUGGCAAGCUGGGAGAGAAAGAAUCAGGUAUGGUGUCAUCUCAAUCUUUGGGAGGUAGGCUGUGAGACAAGGCAACUCAGAAAUUGGUCUCAGUGUGUCUGUGGUGUUGCCACAGGGGCCUCUCUGGUUAUUAAAAAACCUAAUCCAGCCGAGAUGGCAUCUCCAAAAUUGCCAGGGGCGGGGCGGGGGGUGGUAAACCGAGGACUAUUUAAGAUGGCAUUGUUUCCUUAGAGGUAAGCAAUUAAAAAAAAAUUAAGACUUUAUUUUUUAAAGUAGUUUUAUGUUCAGUUUUAGAACAGAAAAAUUGAGGGGUAGGUACAGAGAUUUCCCAUAAACCACGCCCACAUCCCCAGACGUAAAUAGUCUCUCCCAUUAUCAGCACCCUCCAUUAGAAUGGUACAUUUGUUAUAGUUAGCCUGUACGGACACGUCACAGUCACCCAGAGUUUAUAGUUUACAUUACAAUGUCAUACAUUUGUCCAAACCCAUAGAAUGUAUAACACCAAGUAGGAACCGUAAUGACUGUGGAUUUUGGGUAAGCAUGU